CCUACGGGGGGCUGCAGUGGGGAAUAUUGGACAAUGGGCGAAAGCCUGAUCCAGCAAUGCCGCGUGAGUGAUGAAGGCCCUAGGGUUGUAAAGCUCUUUUACCCGGGAUGAUAAUGACAGUACCGGGAGAAUAAGCCCCGGCUAACUCCGUGCCAGCAGCCGCGGUAAUACGGAGGGGGCUAGCGUUGUUCGGAAUUACUGGGCGUAAAGCGCACGUAGGCGGCUUUGUAAGUCAGAGGUGAAAGCCCGGAGCUUAACUCCGGAAUUGCCUUUGGGACUGCAUCGCUUGAAUCCAGGAGAGGUGAGUGGAAUUCCGAGUGUAGAGGUGAAAUUCGUAGAUAUUCGGAAGAACACCAGUGGCGAAGGCGGCUCACUGGACUGGUAUUGACGCUGAGGUGCGAAAGCGUGGGGAGCAAACAGGAUUAGAUACCCCUGUAGUC
Molecule: ribosomal RNA, 440 nt
Filed under: uncultured bacterium
Lineage: Bacteria
Description: partial 16S ribosomal RNA
Rfam family: Bacterial small subunit ribosomal RNA
Source: RNAcentral